GAUGAAGAACGCAGCGAAAUGCGAUAAGGAGUGUGAAUUGCAGAAUUCAGUGAAUCAUCGAAUCUUUGAACGCACAUUGCGCCCGCCAGUAUUCUGGCGGGCAUGCCUGUUCGAGCGUCAUUACAACCCUCAGGCCCCCGGGCCUGGCGUUGGGGAUCGGCGGAGCCCCCCGUGGGCACACGCCGUCCCCCAAAUGCAGUGGCGGUCCCGCCGCAGCUUCCAUCGCGUAGUAGCUAACACCUCGCGACUGGAGAGCGGCGCGGCCACGCCGUAAAACACCCAACUCUUCUGAAGUUGACCUCGAAUCAGGUAGGAAUACCCGCUGAACUUAAGCAUAUCAAUAAGCGGAGGA
RNAcentral lists this unclassified non-coding RNA (352 nucleotides) under soil metagenome. RNAcentral's name for it is "partial contains 5.8S ribosomal RNA, internal transcribed spacer 2, and large subunit ribosomal RNA". The stretch from base 1 to 120 matches the Rfam family "5.8S ribosomal RNA", at positions 35 to 154 of the family's 154-position model. The record is from RNAcentral.